Molecule: ribosomal RNA, 429 nt
Filed under: Gemmatimonadota bacterium
Lineage: Bacteria; Pseudomonadati; Gemmatimonadota
Description: Gemmatimonadetes bacterium partial 16S ribosomal RNA
Rfam family: Bacterial small subunit ribosomal RNA
Source: RNAcentral
UAGGGAAUCUUCGGCAAUGGACGAAAGUCUGACCGAGCAACGCCGCGUGAGUGAAGAAGGUUUUCGGAUCGUAAAACUCUGUUGUUAGAGAAGAACAAGGACGUUAGUAACUGAACGUCCCCUGACGGUAUCUAACCAGAAAGCCACGGCUAACUACGUGCCAGCAGCCGCGGUAAUACGUAGGUGGCAAGCGUUGUCCGGAUUUAUUGGGCGUAAAGCGAGCGCAGGCGGUUUCUUAAGUCUGAUGUGAAAGCCCCCGGCUCAACCGGGGAGGGUCAUUGGAAACUGGGAGACUUGAGUGCAGAAGAGGAGAGUGGAAUUCCAUGUGUAGCGGUGAAAUGCGUAGAUAUAUGGAGGAACACCAGUGGCGAAGGCGGCUCUCUGGUCUGUAACUGACGCUGAGGCUCGAAAGCGUGGGGAUCAAACAGG